AUGAACGCUAGCGGCAGGCUUAACACAUGCAAGUCAGGGGCAGCGUGGAGCAGCAAUGCUCUGACGGCGACCGGCGGAAGGGUGCGUAACACGUGAGCGACUUGCCCGUCACAGGGGGAUAACCGGCGGAAACGGCGACUAAUACCCCCAUACGAUGCGAUGCUGCAUGGCAUUGCAUUGAAAGAUUCAUCGGUGGCGGAUAGGCUCGCGGGGACAUUAGCUAGACGGCGGGGCAACGGCCCACCGUGGCGACGAUGUCUAGGGGUUCUGAGAGGAAGGCCCCCCACACUGGGACUGAGACACGGCCCAGACUCCUACGGGAGGCAGCAGUGAGGAAUAUUGGUCAAUGGGCGGAAGCCUGAACCAGCCAUGCCGCGUGAAGGACUAAGGCCCUACGGGUCGUAAACUUCUUUAGACGCAGAGCAAUAAGGUCCACGUGUGGACCGAUGAGAGUAUGCGUAGAAUAAGCAUCGGCUAACUCCGUG
Molecule: ribosomal RNA, 485 nt
Filed under: uncultured bacterium
Lineage: Bacteria
Description: bacterial SSU rRNA
Rfam family: Bacterial small subunit ribosomal RNA
Source: RNAcentral